AGGAUGAACGCUGGCGGCGUGCCUAAUACAUGCAAGUCGAGCGGCAGCGCAGGGUGCUUGCACCCUGGCGGCGAGCGGCGGACGGCUGAGUAACGCGUAGGAACGUACCCUAAAGUGAGGAAUAACUGCCCGAAAGGGUGGCUAAUGCCGCAUGUGCUCUUCGGAGUAAAGCUUCGGCGCUUUGGGAACGGCCUGCGUCCGAUUAGCUAGUUGGUAAGGUAAUGGCUUACCAAGGCUACGAUCGGUAGCUGGUCUGAGAGGAUGACCAGCCAGACUGGUACUGAGAACGGCCCAGACUCCUACGGGAGGCAGCAGUAGGGAAUUUUCCACAAUGGGCGAAAGCCUGAUGGAGCAACGCCGCGUGCAGGAUGAAGGCCUUCGGGUCGUAAACUGCUUUCUCUGUGAGAUUAUGACGGUAACAGAAGAAUAAGGAUCUGCUAACUACGCGCCAGCAGCCGCGGU
RNAcentral lists this ribosomal RNA (462 nucleotides) under uncultured bacterium. RNAcentral describes it as "SSU rRNA". It matches the Rfam family "Bacterial small subunit ribosomal RNA", at positions 26 to 521 of the family's 1533-position model. The record is from RNAcentral.